CAGUAGCCGCGGUAACACGGAGGGAGCUAACGUUGUUCGGAAUUACUGGGCGUAAAGCGCGCGUAGGCGGUUACUCAAGUCAGAGGUGAAAGCCUGGAGCUCAACUCCAGAAUUGCCUUUAAGACUGCAUCGCUUGAAUCCAGGAGAGGUGAGUGGAAUUCCGAGUGUAGAGGUGAAAUUCGUAGAUAUUCGGAAGAACACCAGUGGCGAAGGCGGCUCACUGGACUGGUAUUGACGCUGAGGUGCGAAAGCGUGGGGAGCAAACAGGAUUAGAUACCCCGGUAGUCCCUGUCUCUUAUAC
This 301-nucleotide ribosomal RNA is filed under the name uncultured bacterium. Its description in RNAcentral is "partial 16S ribosomal RNA". It matches the Rfam family "Bacterial small subunit ribosomal RNA", at positions 509 to 807 of the family's 1533-position model. The record is from RNAcentral.